RNAcentral lists this ribosomal RNA (287 nucleotides) under Cytophagales bacterium. RNAcentral's name for it is "partial 23S ribosomal RNA". It matches the Rfam family "Bacterial large subunit ribosomal RNA", at positions 2626 to 2925 of the family's 2925-position model. The record is from RNAcentral. Lineage: Bacteria; Pseudomonadati; Bacteroidota; Cytophagia; Cytophagales.
ACAGUUCGGUCCCUAUCUGUUGUGGGCGCAGGAAGUUUGAGAGGAUCUGACCUUAGUACGAGAGGACCGGGUUGGACUAACCUCUGGUAUACCGGUUGUCGUGCCAACGGCACAGCCGGGUAGCCACGUUGGGAGAGGAUAAGCGCUGAAAGCAUCUAAGCGCGAACCCCACCUCGAGAUGAGACUUCCAUAUAAGGGACGUCAGAGACUAUGACGUUGAUAGGCUGCAGGUGUAAAGACAGAGAUGUCAAAGCUGAGCAGUACUAAUUACCCAAUAACUUCAUUGC